AGAGUUUGAUCAUGGCUCAGGACGAACGCUGGCGGCGUGCCUAAUACAUGCAAGUCGAGCGAGCUUGCCUAGAUGAUUUUAGUGCUUGCACUAGAUGAAACUAGAUACAAGCGAGCGGCGGACGGGCGAGUAACACGUGGGUAACCUGCCCAAGAGACUGGGAUAACACCUGGAAACAGAUGCUAAUACCGGAUAACAACACUAGACGCAUGUCUAGAGUUUGAAAGAUGGUUCUGCUAUCACUCUUGGAUGGACCUGCGGUGCAUUAGCUAGUUGGUAAGGUAACGGCUUACCAAGGCAAUGAUGCAUAGCCGAGUUGAGAGACUGAUCGGCCACAUUGGGACUGAGACACGGCCCAAACUCCUACGGGAGGCAGCAGUAGGGAAUCUUCCACAAUGGACGAAAGUCUGAUGGAGCAACGCCGCGUGAGUGAAGAAGGGUUUCGGCUCGUAAAGCUCUGUUGGUAGUGAAGAAAGAUAGAGGUAGUAACUGGCCUUUAUUUGACGGUAAUUACUUAGAAAGUCACGGCUAACUACGUGCCAGCAGCCGCGGUAAUACGUAGGUGGCAAGCGUUGUCCGGAUUUAUUGGGCGUAAAGCGAGUGCAGGCGGUUCAAUAAGUCUGAUGUGAAAGCCUUCGGCUCAACCGGAGAAUUGCAUCAGAAACUGUUGAACUUGAGUGCAGAAGAGGAGAGUGGAACUUCAUGUGUAGCGGUGGAAUGCGUAGAUAUAUGGAAGAACACCAGUGGCGAAGGCGGCUCUCUGGUCUGCAACUGACGCUGAGGCUCGAAAGCAUGGGUAGCGAACAGGAUUAGAUACCCUGGUAGUCCAUGCCGUAAACGAUGAGUGCUAAGUGUUGGGAGGUUUCCGCCUCUCAGUGCUGCAGCU
Molecule: ribosomal RNA, 886 nt
Filed under: uncultured bacterium
Lineage: Bacteria
Description: bacterial SSU rRNA
Rfam family: Bacterial small subunit ribosomal RNA
Source: RNAcentral